Molecule: long non-coding RNA, 1488 nt
Filed under: Cyanistes caeruleus (blue tit)
Lineage: Eukaryota; Metazoa; Chordata; Aves; Passeriformes; Paridae
Description: lncRNA (ENSCCEG00000016268.1)
Source: RNAcentral
GUGCUGAGUUUCCUCACAUAUCAACAGAGUACUGAUAUCACCAUUUCUUUUCAGAAAGCCAUCUCCUUAAAAAAUAUGAAAACCAUUGGCAUUUAGUCCUGAUAUAAAGAAGAACUUAUAUUUGUGUAGCUUUGGUAAAUACCACUGAAUCUGAAUGCCAGUCCCCACCUGUCACUCUCAAGACACAGUUUAGGAAAAAUGAAGGAUCCAUGCUGAGAAUACUAAAAAGAAAGGACAUGUAACAGUUACGCUCCUUUGAGAGAUUAUCUGUGCCAUCUUUUUGUGUUAACUAUGCCCUCCAGAUGAGGUGUCCAGCACAAAAACUGCAAGGUCGUAAUUCACAGAGGUGUGGGCCAGGGAGAACUGAAGAAGAGAAUCAGUUCAGGGAAGAAAGCAAGAAAACAAAAAGAAGAGACCUCAUCACAGUCAACUGCUUCCUCAAGAGGGGAAGCAAAGAGGCAGACGCUGAUCUCUGUGGUGACCGGUGACAGGACCCAAGGGACUGGCCUGAGCUUGUUUCAGGGGAAGUUUAGGUUGGGUAUUAGAAAAAGUUUCUUCACCCAGAGGGUGUUUGGUCACUGGAACAGACUCCCCAUGGAAGUGGUCGCAGCACCAGCGUGACAGAAUUCAAGAGGCGUUUGGCCAAAGCUCUCAGGUACAUGGUGUGAUUCUUGGGGAUGGUCCUGUGCAGAGCCAGGAGUUGGACCUGAUGAUCUUUGUGGUCUCUUCCAACUCAGAAUAUUCUGAGAUACAAUGGUUGUAAUUGUUGGCAGAGACAGAGAAAACAGAAGGAAAUCUAUUAUACACUUACCUUGGCUACUCAUCUAGUCCCUACUGUAAUCACAUCAGAAAUGCACUACUGGACUGGGACACGUAGGAGAAGCACCCUCCUCUGCAGACCUCUGGGGUCAGAGAGAGCAGAGUGGGAGACAGAGGCACAACUGGCUGGAGAUGGUGAGCCUGAGGAUAUGGACUGCUGUUGAAGCAAGGGAGCACACUUCAAGUUGUUGGAAACCUUUUUGAUGUGUGCCCAAGAGCGUUCCCUUGGCAGCACCGUUUGUGGCUAUGCAAGGAGCUGAGCUAAGCCUGUGAUAUCAGCUCCUGGCCAACCACAGGCUCCUUCAGAGACGUAAGAUUCAUCUUUUUGCAAGGAGGAUAGCCCAUCCCCUGCAGAAGCACGGUCUCAAGGGACAUGACACACUGCUUUUAUCUCCAGCUACCCAGUCUCUGGACCUUGAAAGUUUUCACUGCAGUGAUUCCAGUGAAGCAAGUCUUAGGUGAGGUUAUCCACAUCACAGAUGAUUCAGACACACAAAAUGCAGAACAACCCUCUCCAAAACAUCCAAGGCCUGAGGCUUGAGGAUGAGAAAUUCGCUUCAUGUGGUAAUAUUGUAAAACACAGGAAAAAUAAUAUUGCUAUAAUAAGCUACUGGAAAUGGUCCUAAUAUCUUAUAGGUAGAUGAAGAUAUUUGCCAGCUUUGUCACUGC